RNAcentral lists this ribosomal RNA (728 nucleotides) under uncultured bacterium. RNAcentral's name for it is "bacterial SSU rRNA". It matches the Rfam family "Bacterial small subunit ribosomal RNA", at positions 771 to 1501 of the family's 1533-position model. The record is from RNAcentral.
AACAGGAUUAGAUACCCUGGUAGUCCACGCCGUAAACGAUGAGUGCUAGGUGUUGGGGGUUUCCGCCCUCUGUGCCGAAGGUAACCCAAUAAGCACUCCGCCUGGGGAGUACGGCCGCAAGGCUGAAACUCAAAGGAAUUGACGGGGGCCCGCACAAGCGGUGGAGCAUGUGGUUUAAUUCGAAGCAACGCGAAGAACCUUACCAGGUCUUGACAUCCCGCUGAUCGGUGUAGAGAUAUGCCUUUCCUUCGGGACAGCGGUGACAGGUGGUGCAUGGUUGUCGUCAGCUCGUGUCGUGAGAUGUUGGGUUCAGUCCCGCAACGAGCGCAACCCUUGUCGUCAGUUGCCAGCACGUAAAGGUGGGCACUCUGGCGAGACGGCCGGUGAAAGCCGGAGGAAGGUGGGGAUGACGUCAAAUCAUCAUGCCCCUUAUGACCUGGGCUACACACGUGCUACAAUGGCCGGUACAACGGGCAGCGAACCCGCGAGGGGGAGCCAAUCCAAAAAACCGGUCUCAGUUCGGAUCGCAGGCUGCAACUCGCCUGCGUGAAGCUGGAAUCGCUAGUAAUCGCGGAUCAGCAUGCCGCGGUGAAUCCGUUCCCGGGCCUUGUACACACCGCCCGUCACACCACGAGAGUCUGCAACACCCGAAGUCGGUGAGGUAACCUUCGGGAACCAGCCGCCGAAGGUGGGGCAGAUGAUUGGGGUGAAGUCGUAACAAGGUAACC